RNAcentral lists this long non-coding RNA (921 nucleotides) under Hordeum vulgare. Its description in RNAcentral is "long non-coding RNA (HVUL_LNC017710)". The record is from RNAcentral. Lineage: Eukaryota; Viridiplantae; Streptophyta; Magnoliopsida; Poales; Poaceae.
GAUUGAUCCAUAUUUCACUUUAUUAGUUUGUUGCAUUUAUGAAGGCUGGUCGUCUUCCUAGAGGAAUCAAACAUUAUGGGUUCCCAUACAAUUCGUACGUGUCAUGCUGGUAUAUCCCCUCUCUUUUUACUUUCCGAGUUUACUUUUAUUUCAGUUUCUAGGUGCACCUAAAUUUUCUUUAAGGGUGACAAGCACAUCCCUGGACAUAACAGAUAAUUGUUUUUUAGCUAUUGUAAACCUGAAGUGGUAUCCCCAUGAUAAUCUUUUGGAUUAUCUAACUGAAUCUAGAAUACAUACCAAGUGCCAUUGUUUGCUAACUAUGAUUUACAAUUCCUGCUUUCUAUGGAAUAAAUAAGAUUAUGUAGGUUUCAUAUCACACCCCCUUUGCAACUUUAUUAAAUGUAAAUAGCUUAGCCCUCUAUUGAUGAUGUCAUGUGGCUGCUCAUGUCUCGCUCUCUUGAUGACUAACUUUUUGAUGUCUUUAUCCUCUCAUAUAGUUUCUUAUUAUUAAAUAAUCAUAUGGGCUAUUGCUAGCCUAAGAAAACAUUUUCACGGUUUCUCUUAAAUAAGCAUUCAUUCUUUUUAGGGGAAGUAUGCACAUUCAUUUGUUGUUGUGAAAAAAGUGAGCUAAAUGCCAAAUAGCAGUGCUCCAGUUUACUUUCCAUACCGCAAAAUAUGUGUUUCACUAUAGUUUAUUCUUGAACAUAGUACUACAUGUUUCGUUUUUGCAUUUUGAAUUAGAAAACAACAACUCCAAUUCCAUAUGCUCAAUUUACUCUUUAAUUUGCAGGGUUACAAGUGAACUUAAAUGCCAUUUCCUGGAAAUCGGUGUAAGAUAACAUCACCCUUUAUGAAGUUCAAUUGUUUCAAUGCUCUUAGAAGCCAACCUGAGUACCAAGGACAGAAAUACACGACUAUGCC